CUCUUAUCCCGAGAGGUGGAGGGACUGGCCCAAUGAAACCCGGCAACCAUCCGGCAUGACCCCGGACAGGUGCUAAUUCCUGCAGAAGAAAUUUUCUUCUGACAGAUAAGAG
Molecule: non-coding RNA, 112 nt
Filed under: Desulfotomaculum nigrificans
Lineage: Bacteria; Bacillati; Bacillota; Clostridia; Eubacteriales; Desulfotomaculaceae
Also listed under: 1 other name
Description: SAM-I sequence
Rfam family: SAM riboswitch aptamer (S box leader)
About the family: The SAM riboswitch is found upstream of a number of genes which code for proteins involved in methionine or cysteine biosynthesis in Gram-positive bacteria. The SAM riboswitch acts at the level of transcription termination control.
Source: RNAcentral